RNAcentral lists this long non-coding RNA (219 nucleotides) under Lathyrus oleraceus (garden pea). RNAcentral's name for it is "Pisum sativum (pea) long non-coding RNA (PSAT_LNC001921)". Lineage: Eukaryota; Viridiplantae; Streptophyta; Magnoliopsida; Fabales; Fabaceae. The record is from RNAcentral.
AGAGAAACCAAAUCCAAAUUAGACCAAAGGCUUGAUCAAGUCAUCAUUAAAAUCAAUCAUCCAUUUUGGUGGAUUAGGGUUUUCACCUAAUCAACACCCAAGAUCCAUUGAGUUUGAUGAGACCAAUGAUCAAAUCAACUAAGAUCCAAGGCCAACAGAAGUCAACAAAUGUCAAACAAGCAUAAAAUGCAAGAAAAUAAAAUAAAAUGCAUCAAAAAC